ACGUAGGGUGCGAGCGUUGUCCGGAAUCAUUGGGCGUAAAGGGCGCGUAGGCGGACGUUUAAGUCUGGUGUGAAAGACUGGGGCUCAACCCCAGGGCUACACCGGAAACUGGGCGUCUUGAGGACAGGAGAGGAAAGCGGAAUUCCACGUGUAGCGGUGAAAUGCGUAGAUAUGUGGAGGAACACCAGUGGCGAAGGCGGCUUUCUGGACUGUAACUGACGCUGAGGCGCGAAAGCGUGGGGAGCAAACAG
Molecule: ribosomal RNA, 251 nt
Filed under: uncultured prokaryote
Description: partial 16S ribosomal RNA
Rfam family: Bacterial small subunit ribosomal RNA
Source: RNAcentral